UACGUAGGGGGCAAGCGUUGUCCGGAAUCAUUGGGCGUAAAGAGCGUGUAGGCGGCCCGGUAAGUCCGCUGUAAAAGUCAAAGGCUUAACCUUUGAAUGUCAGUGGAUACUGCCGGGCUAGAGUCCGGAAGAGGCGAGUGGAACUCCUGGUGUAGCGGUGGAACGCGCAGAUAUCAGGAGGAACACCAGUGGCGAAGGCGGCACUCUGGGCCGGUACUGACGCUGAGGAGCGAAAGCGUGGGGAGCGAACAGG
This 253-nucleotide ribosomal RNA is filed under the name uncultured bacterium. Its description in RNAcentral is "partial 16S ribosomal RNA". It matches the Rfam family "Bacterial small subunit ribosomal RNA", at positions 524 to 776 of the family's 1533-position model. The record is from RNAcentral.